UGGUGGGUAGUUUGACUGGGGCGGUCUCCUCCUAAAGAGUAACGGAGGAGCACGAAGGUUGGCUAAUCCUGGUCGGACAUCAGGAGGUUAGUGCAAUGGCAUAAGCCAGCUUGACUGCGAGCGUGACGGCGCGAGCAGGUGCGAAAGCAGGUCAUAGUGAUCCGGUGGUUCUGAAUGGAAGGGCCAUCGCUCAACGGAUAAAAGGUACUCCGGGGAUAACAGGCUGAUACCGCCCAAGAGUUCAUAUCGACGGCGGUGUUUGGCACCUCGAUGUCGGCUCAUCACAUCCUGGGGCUGAAGUAGGUCCCAAGGGUAUGGCUGUUCGCCAUUUAAAGUGGUACGCGAGCUGGGUUUAGAACGUCGUGAGACAGUUCGGUCCCUAUCUGCCGUGGGCGCUGGAGAACUGAGGGGGGCUGCUCCUAGUACGAGAGGACCGGAGUGGACGCAUCACUGGUGUUCGGGUUGUCAUGCCAAUGGCACUGCCCGGUAGCUAAAUGCGGAAGAGAUAAGUGCUGAAAGCAUCUAAGCACGAAACUUGCCCCGAGAUGAGUUCUCCCUGACCCUUUAAGGGUCCUGAAGGAACGUUGAAGACGACAACGUUGAUAGGCCGGGUGUGUAAGCGCAGCGAUGCGUUGAGCUAACCGGUA
Molecule: ribosomal RNA, 647 nt
Filed under: Escherichia coli
Lineage: Bacteria; Pseudomonadati; Pseudomonadota; Gammaproteobacteria; Enterobacterales; Enterobacteriaceae
Description: partial 23S ribosomal RNA
Rfam family: Bacterial large subunit ribosomal RNA
Source: RNAcentral